AAAAAGAUAUAGAGGGUGUAAUUUCCGCUAUAAAAAAUGCAGGAUCCGAGACGAUAUCAACCCAUAAACCACAAGAUCCACAUUAUUCUCUAAACCCGAAUUGACUUUCACAUUUUUAGAUCCGAAUAGAUCCUCAUCUUCUAACGUUCCACCUGAAGUGCCAAUGGCGUUUUUAUAGCCCGGUAAUUAUUCAAAUCUAAGUUUUUCUUUCGAAUUUUGGUUGAAUAUAACUGAGAUAUGCAAUUGGAAUGAUGAAGAAUUAAUUUUUUUGAUUAAGGCCUGAAAAUUGACGGUAAGAAUAAGCAUAUUAAUGUAAGUAUUUCAACGGUGCUGAAGUGAAUUUUAUAAGGAUGUAUAUGAAAUAAUUUAUGUCUACAAAUGUUCUAGUUGUGUGUUUAUUAACAAUAAUAGUUGUUUGACUGUUUGAAGGUUUACAAUCAUAAGUUAUGAAACUGCAAUAUUUUCAAAAGUAUGUUGGUUUAUAAUUUCAGUCUGGAUUUAAAUUGUUUUAAUUACAUGCUGUUCUCAUUCGCAGACCAACAACCUAAUGCUGAAGGCCUCAUUCUUUCCUUGCAAAGUGAGAAUUAUUAUCGUUUGAAGAACUUCUAAUUUCCUUGAUUGCAAUUUGUGAAUUAAGGAUCUGCAUGGUUCUGAAUCUUCUAAUUGCUGUAUUAUUACACAUAGAUUUCCAACACGAAUUUCAAUGAAAUAUAUGGAUAGGAUAAAGAUGAACACCAAAUGACAUAAGUGAUAAUACAUAACUAUUAGAGAUUGAAUUUUGAUCUUGAUGUCACAAGGAUGAAAAGAAGUUCAUUACCAUUUUUGUGAUGAUAUAUGUUUUCUUAUGAAAUAACACUAGCUUCUUAGGACAUUUUUAUAAUUUA
RNAcentral lists this long non-coding RNA (884 nucleotides) under Olea europaea (common olive). RNAcentral's name for it is "long non-coding RNA (OEUR_LNC013674)". Lineage: Eukaryota; Viridiplantae; Streptophyta; Magnoliopsida; Lamiales; Oleaceae. The record is from RNAcentral.